This 2567-nucleotide small RNA is filed under the name Theobroma cacao (cacao). RNAcentral's name for it is "sRNA Tc02v2_g030260". The record is from RNAcentral. Lineage: Eukaryota; Viridiplantae; Streptophyta; Magnoliopsida; Malvales; Malvaceae.
CAUCCCCAUCUAUCAUUUUCAGAGACAAAAAAGUGUUGUUUUUCAGGAACAAAGGUUUUAUGCAAUUUAAAAGGUUGAAGGAUUCUUUACAUAUUGCCUAGAAAAAACACUGCUUCCAUAUAUAUCUCCAAUUAUUUCAUAUCCGAUCGAGCUGUCUCCAUGUUUCUGAAGAUAAGCAGAAGAGGUCAUUACGGAUACCAAAUGUUGAAUGGUGAUAGAUGAAAAAGCUGACAGAGAAUCUAAUUUUAUGGGCUAAGAUUUCAUGCGGAAUCUGACCACAAAAUUCUUCCGAAUGAUCCAUCUUUGCCUGUAAAACUGUCUAGCUCAGGUGCUUAAAUGUGUAUAGACGGGAUGAACUGACAGAGUUGCAGAUCAAUGGCAUUGGUCUUGAGACAUUGGACUACAAGGGACACAUAUAAAAUUCUCAUUUCAUUGAGUCCCACAUCUAAAAACUGCAUUUAUCCACUUCACCAAUAUGACAGUUGGAGACAAUGCUCCUUGUUCUACCAAUAAGUAUAGGUUUCCUAUUGAUCUUCUACAGAGUGAGACAUUGUACUUAAACUACUUCUUCGACUGGAAGGUCAACGCUUGAAAACAUCUUUCUUGUAGUUUCACAUAAUUGAACUCACUUCCUUUUUCAUAUUUGAUUCGGUAUGUGUUUUCCAUUUCUGACUUGAUUUCACAGCUUGGGUUGAUUCUGGGGAGGUUACCAACACAUUAUGAUCCUAGAAAUUUAUUGAUCUUAAAAGUUUUCAUACCCCAACUUGACCUUUUGUGGAUAGCAGAUGUUCUCAAGGUUUGUCCAUUGAUGCAAAAGUUGGAAUUACAUGUAAGAUUUGCCAUCAGCUUGCCUUUGUUAGCGCAGUUGUUAAUUUCUGCGUCCUUAUUUACUAUAAGUUGAUCUGUAGUGUUAAAAAGGGAUAAGGCAUUGUUUCAUCAAACAUAACCUUUUGUGCAAGUUGGAUUCAUUCAUUUAGAUGUAGUUCAGACCAUAUUCAAAAAGUUGUUUAGAAAACUGUGUAAGAUUAGGCCUACGAAAGCUGUAGUUCUGAACCCGUUUCUUAGUAGUUAUUGAUCUCAGUAGCUAUUCUAAGCUUAACAUUCAAUAUUAGUGAGCAUUACAAGAGUCAAGCAGUAACAGUUUGCCAUGCAGUCAUUAAUGCAGAAAAACAGAAGAGAAGAGAAGAACAAAACAGUAAUAGAAGGCAACUGAACCAGAUAUUGCAUUAACUGAAACAUAUAUACAAUGAUAGUUAAGUGAACAACAUUAAGAAACAUAACUUUGAAUCUGCAUUACUUUCACUAAGCAGAGCCUAGAUAUCAAAUCUAAACAUGCAUUGGAGCAUGUCUGACGCUAACCAAGACAGUUGGAAAACCGUCAGAAUACAAAACAGCAAAGCAUGAUCAUAUUGACAUGUGAUGAGGCUUGCAGGGUCUUCAAUGCAAGUCCCAAUUCAACAGAUAUGACCAAUGUAAAAGUUUGAGUUAUCAGCAAAUUGGAUGAUCAUUCUAUAUAGGAACAAAGUUUUGGAGAAACAAAUUAUGGAAUCUUCAAAUCUAAGAUCCAUACUCACUACAAGUCCUAGCUAGCCUCUAUUGGGUUAUUUUCUGAAAUGAUAAGAAUGUAGCCAAUUUAUGGAGGCAUUCAGGUUUUGAACAAGUAAUGUCUCAUCCUUCCUUGACUAUUCUAUUUUGGAAUGCGUUGCAGCUAUGACACUGUGAUUAUAUUGAUAGAAAUAGAGAAAUAAACCGGUUUCCAGCUGCCCUCAUGAUCAUCUCAAGGAAUUUCUUAUUACUGGUACAUAUGGUUACGUGACUGAGAUUGAGAUCGCUGUGUAUCUACUGAACAAUGCAAUAGUGCUUCAGAAGAUGGCGUUGGACCCAUGUAUCAGAUCUUAUAAUGGUCAUGGCACUAGCGAAGCUAGAGAAGCUUGUGCCAGAUGGGCUGCAAUGGGAAGGCAGAGGGUCUUUGAGCAUCUGAUGAGCAUCUGAUAGGUGAAGUUCAUCCCAGUGUAGAGCUGCUGCUUCUGUGAAUACCAAUAGGUGAGAUUCUGUGUUCAUAGAUUCUGGUUAAUUACUCAAUUCUCAAUUUGAAAGCAUAGACGUGUAAAAUGAAAGUUACUAUAAUGUACUAGUUAAUAUCAAGUGUCAAAGCCGAUGAAUUUUUCAGCCAAUAAUAUUUCCUCUUGUAUGACUUCCGAAAAAAAAUGCAAAUAGCCUGGUAUAAGAUACUGCAUCCUGUGACUACUCUGAGAUGAGCAACUAAACACUCAAAGGCUUGGAGAGCAACCGUUCCUGAUUUUUUGAAAUGUGAUAGGAGUUAUUGAUCAAAAGCUGAAGACUAGUAAGACUACCCGCCUUGUCUUUCUAAUCAGUGUCAGGUGUCAGCAAGACUUCCUCCAAACACUAGCAGAAGGGUAGAGUCAACCUGACCAAGGGUCAAUACGAGGCCAAAUGAACUCCAUGUGACAGUUGAUUCAUUUCUCUUUCUUGUUACUCACAUAACAAAAAGCAAUAGUAUUUUUAUGAACGCUCGAUAUGUUCUGAAAGCAGUUUGAAUUCUGGCA